GACGAACGCUGGCGGCGUGCCUAACACAUGCAAGUCGAGCGGGAACCUCAGGAGGGGUAACCCUUCUGAGGGGAGAGCGGCGAACGGGUGAGUAACACGUGGGCAACCUGCCCCGGACACCGGGAUAACCCAGGGAAACCUGAGCUAAUACCGGAUACUCCGGCGCGAUCGCAUGGUCGUGCCGGGAAAGCUCCGACGGUCCGGGAUGGGCCCGCGGCCUAUCAGCUUGUUGGUGGGGUAACGGCCCACCAAGGCGACGACGGGUAGCUGGUCUGAGAGGACGAUCAGCCACACUGGCACUGCGACACGGGCCAGACUCCUACGGGAGGGCAGCAGUAAGGAAUAUUGCGCAAUGGGCGAAAGCCUGACGCAGCGACGCCGCGUGGGGAGUGAAGGUCUUCGGAUUGUAAACCCCUUUCCGGGAGGGAAGAUGGAACGAGCAAUCGUUCGGACGGUACCUCCAGAAGCAGCCACGGCUAACUUCGUGCCAGCAGCCGCUG
Molecule: ribosomal RNA, 500 nt
Filed under: uncultured bacterium
Lineage: Bacteria
Description: bacterial SSU rRNA
Rfam family: Bacterial small subunit ribosomal RNA
Source: RNAcentral